GCGGAUGUAGUUCAAUUGGCUAGAACGCCACCUUGCCAUGGUGGAGGUUGCGAGUUCGAGUCUCGUCAUCCGCUCCA
Molecule: transfer RNA, 77 nt
Filed under: Candidatus Gracilibacteria bacterium CG17_big_fil_post_rev_8_21_14_2_50_48_13
Lineage: Bacteria; Candidatus Altimarinota
Description: tRNA-Gly
Rfam family: tRNA
About the family: Transfer RNA (tRNA) molecules are approximately 80 nucleotides in length.
Source: RNAcentral